RNAcentral lists this ribosomal RNA (516 nucleotides) under uncultured bacterium. RNAcentral describes it as "bacterial SSU rRNA". It matches the Rfam family "Bacterial small subunit ribosomal RNA", at positions 18 to 518 of the family's 1533-position model. The record is from RNAcentral.
UAUGGCUCAGAUUGAACGCUGGCGGCGUGCUUAACACAUGCAAGUCGCGCGUGAAAGGACUUCGGUCCGAGUAAAGCGGCGCACGGGUGAGUAACGCGUGGAUGAUCUACCCAUGAGUUAGGAAUAACGGGCUGGAAACGGUCGCUAAUACCAAAUACGCUCCGAUUUCAACUUCGGGGGAAAGGUGGCCUCUGCUUGCAAGCUACUGCUCAUGGAUGAGUCCGCGUCCCAUUAGCUAGUUGGUGGGGUAACGGCCCACCAAGGCGACGAUGGGUAGCCGGUCUGAGAGGAUGACCGGCCACACUGGGACUGGAACACGGCCCAGACUCCUACGGGAGGCAGCAGUGGGGAAUAUUGCGCAAUGGGCGAAAGCCUGACGCAGCGACGCCGCGUGAGGGAUGAAGGUCCUCGGAUCGUAAACCUCUGUCAGGAGGGAAGAACCGCCACGGUGCUAAUCAGCCGUGGUCUGACGGUACCUCCAAAGGAAGCACCGGCUAACUCCGUGCCAGCAGCGGC